GCUCCCGUAGCUCAGUGGAUAGAGCAGCGGCUUCCUAAGCCGUUGGUCGUGCGUUCGACUCGCACCGGGAGUG
RNAcentral lists this transfer RNA (73 nucleotides) under Sandaracinaceae bacterium. Its description in RNAcentral is "tRNA-Arg". It matches the Rfam family "tRNA". From Rfam's summary of the family: Transfer RNA (tRNA) molecules are approximately 80 nucleotides in length. Their secondary structure includes four short double-helical elements and three loops (D, anti-codon, and T loops). Further hydrogen bonds mediate the characteristic L-shaped molecular structure. tRNAs have two regions of fundamental functional importance: the anti-codon, which is responsible for specific mRNA codon recognition, and the 3' end, to which the tRNAs corresponding amino acid is attached (by aminoacyl-tRNA synthetases). tRNAs cope with the degeneracy of the genetic code in two manners: having more than one tRNA (with a specific anti-codon) for a particular amino acid; and 'wobble' base-pairing, i.e. permitting non-standard base-pairing at the 3rd anti-codon position. Lineage: Bacteria; Pseudomonadati; Myxococcota; Polyangiales; Sandaracinaceae. The record is from RNAcentral.